Molecule: unclassified non-coding RNA, 378 nt
Filed under: plant metagenome
Description: partial contains 5.8S ribosomal RNA, internal transcribed spacer 2, and large subunit ribosomal RNA
Rfam family: 5.8S ribosomal RNA (bases 1-105)
Source: RNAcentral
GAAAUGCGAUAAGUAAUGUGAAUUGCAGAAUUCAGUGAAUCAUCGAAUCUUUGAACGCACCUUGCGCUCCUUGGUAUUCCUUGGAGCAUGCCUGUUUGAGUAUCAUGAAAUCUUCAAAGUAAAUCUUUUGUUAACUCAAUUGGUUUCUACUUUGGUAUUGGAGGUCUUUGCAGCUUCACACCUGCUCCUCUUUGUUCAUUAGCUGGAUCUCAGUGUUAUGCUUGGUUCCACUCGGCGUGAUAAGUUAUCUAUCGCUGAGGACACUGUAAAAGGUGGCCAAGGUAAAUUCAGAUGAACCGCUUCUCAUAGUCCAUUGACUUGGACAAUACUUUUAUGAUCUGAUCUCCAAUCAGGUAGGACUACCCGCUGAACUUAAGC